GGGUGUGAGGGCGACCUGGCUGUGAAGUCUGUCACCCCAUCAAUCACCAGGGCUGAUUCGGCUGAUCUGGCUGGCUGGGUAGGUGUCCCCUUCCUCCCUCACUGCUCCACAUGUGUCCCUCCUGAAGCUGCACACUUGGUCAAAGAGACAGCAAUCCCCGAGAGAAGAGGACCAGUCUUCAGUCAAGGGUAUACGAGUAGCUGCACUCCCCUGCUAGAACCUCGAAACAAGCUCUCAAAUUAUCUCUAAUUUCUCAAUUUUUCUUUCUUUUUUUUUUUUUUUG
RNAcentral lists this small RNA (283 nucleotides) under Colobus angolensis palliatus. RNAcentral describes it as "7SK RNA (ENSCANG00000006656.1)". It matches the Rfam family "7SK RNA", at positions 1 to 250 of the family's 331-position model. Rfam says of the family: 7SK was discovered as an abundant small nuclear RNA in the mid-70s but a possible function has only recently been suggested. Two independent studies have found that 7SK RNA binds the CDK9/cyclin T complex (known as elongation factor P-TEFb). Lineage: Eukaryota; Metazoa; Chordata; Mammalia; Primates; Cercopithecidae. The record is from RNAcentral.